GGUUGAUGCUGUGAAUGCGCUCGGUCAUCCCCUUGCAACUGAUGUCACCUGCAGCAUGUCAACGCAGACACAAAACAGGGCAUGGGUCAGAUCUAGCUGGUUGCAUUCCUAACACCUAGGUUUCAGAGUAAAAAUACAGAGUCAGCUUGUGAUGGCAUUCCCUCAAAACAUGGAAGGAAUUGCAGUAAUGAAAGUCAUCAUGUAUUCUAAGAGACUGUUCUGCGAGAGCACAACACAGACGGGGCUAAAGCAGGGUGAGAAGCAAAAGUGCUCAGGAGUUAAGAGAAGCAGACGUCCGAAAUUAUCUCCAUGCAUUACCAAAAACCGUGGGCACCACGGCACGGGGAAAACUUACCAGGUACAAUGAGCCAGUGACUGUUACUGAAUUUCUUAAGAUUACACUUUUCCCAACUACUGCAGACUGCUUCAGAAUAGAAGAAGACAACUCUCAUGCCAUCAAGCCGACGGACUUUCAAAAAAAUAAAAGAUGCAUUUCUUUACUUGAGCUACGGUGAAAGGGCACCUAAGGUGAAUGGACAGAUUGUAGAUGGGUGCACACAGGAAAAUGUACAGCUCCUACAAUGUAUUCUGAGCUUUACUAAGGGAAUUAAUUAUCUGGAAGAACAGGAACAUACAGGCCCAUGAGAAGUAAAAGCAGGCACUGGCAUUCUGCACAGAUGAAAUACUUCCUACGACAGGAAUACAUGCUCACUUGUGGACUUCUCUGUAAUCUGUAGGCAACAUCAGCUCCUGAUUUCUAGGUCUGGAUCUGGGUUCUCUGUAGCACAGGAAGCAUAGUUACUCUGUGAUGAAGAAAAACUCAGAAAACUAUCCAGAUGUGGGAAUUUCUCGGGUAUUCCUUGCACUUGAACUUAAGGAUGAAUGAAGGUAUAUACAAGUCUCUACUUCUCCUACAUAAAUGCCUUGCAUGGCGGGAACUAAAUCAACUACACAGACCCAUACAUCCAGAGAGCAGAGGUGAGCUGGAUACAAGUGGCUUAGAGAUGUGGUGGAAGGAGGCCAGAGCUCCAAGGGAAGGGCAGCAAGGAGACAACAGCAUGGGUUGCAGCUCAGACAACAGGUAAAUAAAACCAAGCAAAGCUGCUGGUCACAGAUUUGACCAGGGUGGCAAGAAAUGACAAGCUACCAUGAGAUUCAACAGUGGCACGGAAGGAUGAUGAGAAGCAAACAGAUUAGGAGAAGCUGCCACCACCGUACAUAGAGGCACAGAUGACCAAGCAGAACAGCACCAGUCCCUGCAAGGUGUGCUCAGAUACAGCUCAGCACAGCCAUCUGGCCAGGAGGGAAUGAUAAUGCACAUGGUGUGCACUGCAGCCGGGAAGUUGAGAACCGCUGUGGGCACCUCAGGACUGAGUCUGGUUACCCUGCUGAUCCAAGAAAUGAAGCCAUCUAAAAUUUUGCCUGCUUUCACAAUUUUCUGUGUGUGUGUGUGUGUAUUAAACAAAGUGAACUAAGAAGCCUUUUAUUGGAGACAUAAUGUACUCACAGUAGUUUCAAAAUCAAUGGUGUCACUCUUCAGGUAAAUUACUCCAAGGCUUGGGCCUAGUGCAGAUGUUCAUUGGGGCAGGGAGCAGAGAGCGGCUGCAUCUAGAUCAGACAAAAAACAAAAAUAAGGUUGUUAAAUGAACAGGUGAUGGUGAUGGCAAUUAUUUAUUUUGAUAGGAAAG
RNAcentral lists this long non-coding RNA (1688 nucleotides) under Homo sapiens (human). Its description in RNAcentral is "HSALNT0313900". The record is from RNAcentral. Lineage: Eukaryota; Metazoa; Chordata; Mammalia; Primates; Hominidae.